UACGUCAUGUCCAAUCAACACGAAGCUAUAAAUAGUCAUAAUAUGUUUUAAAAUGAAGUUAUAAUACGUUUAUAAAUUAAACAACUUAAAAUUUACGAAAAAUAAAACUGUAUAAAUACCGACGAGACAUCCGAUACUUGUGUUAUUCGCAAGAUGAUGGACACUUUUACACGUCGGAUGACUUUGAAGAAUAAGAAUUGUUGGAGGUGAAUGAAUUUUUGCACAAGCGACUGUCGCCACUGAUGAAACAUAUCGUUACGGAAUAUAACGGCUCUUGACUAACGACGACAAACGCGCAAAUAUUACGUAGGCAUAAUUACAUUAGUAAUUAAUCAUUUUACAAUAUCACAGAGCCGUGAUAUAAAGGUUUCCCUGGAAAACAACUUUCAACUAUAAUAAAUUAUGCCAGUUGCG
Molecule: long non-coding RNA, 414 nt
Organism: Dinoponera quadriceps
Lineage: Eukaryota; Metazoa; Arthropoda; Insecta; Hymenoptera; Formicidae
Exons: 3
Source: RefSeq, a predicted model, not a curated record